UGUGCAAAGUAUACCAGUGAAACACAGGGCACAAGUGAGUGUACGUGUGUGAUAUGUCUGACGGGCUCAGGUGAGUGUACGUGUGUGAUAUGUCUGACGGGCUCAGGUGAGUGUACGUGUGUUGUGUGUCUGAUGGAUGCAGCACACCAGUGAAUGUAAUUGUGGGAUGUGUUAGAGGGAAGCAGGGCGCAGGUGAGUGUAUAUGUGUGAUGUGUCUGAGGGAUGCAGGACACACUUGAGUGUAUGUCUGUGAUGCGUCUGAGGGAUGCUGGAUGUGUCUGAAGGAUACAGAUGAGUGUACACGUGUAACAUUCAAAUUUUACAAUUUCCUUGUGCAGUUCUAAAAAAACUGAAAUGUUACCCUAUUUAUAUGAUCUAUGCAGGUGAUGUUAAGACUGAAGUCACACUUGAUGCUGAACAGAGAAAUUAACUAUAUGUAAAGAGUCAACUGGAUGCUGUGAAGCAGGAAAUCAGUGACAAUAUCAGAACAUGCCGUACUGAUGUGACGCCUACAGAUGACUCAGCGGUUGAGCACGGAGGGGAACCGUCUGUGUGUGAUCAGGUGAAGACUGAGGAGGAUGAAGUUCCUAUAAAUAUGGCUACAGCUAAACCUGAUGGGGCUGUAACACGUGUGAGAGAAAAAACAGAAGGGAUCUACACCAAGAGGCGUUUACAGAGCGGAUCAUUUUCCAGCUGGAGAGCCUAUACUUAACAAAUUGUGCAGCACUUACCUCAUUUCGAUUGAGGUAGUUUUUUGUAAGUAGGAAGUUCACCUAUUACCACUGUUUUUUGGGGCACACCAACUUACCUGGACUUUGGAUUCAAGUUUUCUUCACUUGGGAACUUGAGACUGUUCUUAUGUUAUUCUCUUUGGGGACUCUUGGGGGUCUCUUUUAUUGUCUUCUACUAUUGUGAUCGAUCCAUUUGGGGACUAUUACUCU
Bombina bombina (fire-bellied toad) is the source of this 941-nucleotide long non-coding RNA. RefSeq lists it as uncharacterized. Lineage: Eukaryota; Metazoa; Chordata; Amphibia; Anura; Bombinatoridae. The transcript has 3 exons. The record is from RefSeq and is a predicted model, not a curated record.